AAUGUAAAUUGAGAAAUGCAGGGUCUUAUAAUGGCUUGAAUUACAGGAGUCUCUCCCUCUUUUUGCUGAGCCCUGUGUGUUUAAGGGACUUGCUGGCUUUUUGUGUUGUCUAGAAGUUGUUAAAUGAGUGAAAAAAACUGUAAAAACCUUCCGCCAAACCAUCUUCCUUAUUUGCAAGGAUCAAGGAAGGAUUUUGUUUGUUUAUUUUUUUGAGAGAUGGAUUGAAAGAAUUUGAAAGACAGUCAGAAGGGUUUGGAGUACUGAGGAGAACCUUGAUAGCUGAUAGUUCAAGAAAAUGCUUCAUCAAACAGGGCUGGCAGGCAUCUCUUCACUCCUUUGAACCUUCAGUGUUGAUAAGGAGGUUUUAAAAAUUGUUAUUUGUAGGAAAAUUUGAUUUUCAUUUAUCUGAUUUUUAAGUAGGGGAUUUUCAGUAUGGGGCACAUAAUAGUAAAUGACUGUGUCUUCAUUUGAACAAGGGACUAACAUCAAAUUCAUUAGGAUCUGCCUCUCAGCAAUUUUGUUCACAAAUCCAAUGGAAAAAAAAAAUCUCUGGAGUCACUUAGAAAACUGUCAGUAGUAGAUUGUAUGUGUAUGUGUGAAACCAGCAGAUUAUUCAUAGGAACUUUGUAAUUAAUGAUCAAAUAUUUUUAAAGAUCUUGUUAGUAGCAAUCCAAGUAGAAAUGGAGAAAAGGAUGGUGUGUCCAUAUUUCACCAGCAAGGUAGAUUGUGACUUUACAGAGCAUUAAGAUGUUUCAAGUUUUAAGUUUUUUCUUGGAUGGAGAAAAUGACUGAGUCCUGGAAUACUUCACCGAAGGCUGCUUUUGUCAAACAGAGAAGAAACAAGAGAAGGCUGACCUCUCUCUUUGCUUACAGAAAGUUUUAUAUUUUCUAGGAUUACAUAUUUAGAACACUUUAUACAACAGGCCAGGCACCAACAUUAUGAAGUCACCAAGUGUACAUGUAUAGUGCCUCCAGACAACAGCAAGAGGUGGACUAAAGUUUUUUUGGAGACCAAUUCAGUAACUGAAAACUGACCUUUCCUCUCUCACUCCCUUUCCCUCCUAGGCAAUGGCAGAGGGUCUGACGGUUGGAGGCAGAAACCCCCAAACAAAUGCUGUUAUCUGAUAGAAAUAACCAGAAAAGAUACAAUUUUGUCUGAAGACCAUGCUAAAUAGACCCAUAAAAUUUAAGCUGAAGCCUUCUCAUCUACUUGCUGAACAUAUGUAUUUAAUCUACAAGACGAGCAGAACCUGGGAUGUGAAUAGCAAAGCAGAAUUUGACCUUCAUUUUUUGAGUUAUUACUGAACAUGUGUGAUGUGAAAACAUUGAGAUCCUCUGCCAUUCAUUAUGGCAAAUGUCAAGUGGGUGUUGUGUGGAACUGAGAGAGACCAAUCUUGAGAGAACAUCCGCCUUCAAUAAGUGGAACUCCAGAUUACACAAAGCUGCAGGCAUAAAAGCAGCUACAAAAGAAAGUUCACUCUGAAAAUGAAACAAUUUUCUCUAGAAAAAUGAACAUGAAAGUUAAACAGCCAUCCUCACCCUUGCCUGGAAGAUCUGAGAAAGGAGGUGGAGAGAAAAGUGUCCACUCUUUGGUCUCUGCACUGGUGACAAUCAUUGUAGGUGGGGGACCACUAUAUCAACUAAUAGAAGUGCCUGAAAAUGUUCCCAGGCUCUGCUGCUGGACCAGAAAACAAAACAUGUUCCUGCUAAUAAAUUCCAUCAUUCGCUGUAACUAGAUGGCUGUGUGAAAAAGUGCCUGUUGGAAAUGAUCCUGGGAAUAUUUGUACUCCCAAGCUGGUUUGGGAUUUUUUUGUAUGAGUGCUGGAUGGCAUGUGUGCCAAAAGUGUGCCAGGAAAUAGUUUGACAAUUUAGGGAUUGCCUAGAUUAGGAAAAAGGCCCAAUAAGAACAGAUCCAUGGCAGAAAACAUCUGGUGCAUCCACACUGACAUUCAAAGCCUUUGUAUUUCAGAGAGUUUUACUGUUUCCUAACUCUAGCCCACUCCCGCAGACAGAAUGUCCAUUAGCAGUCAAAGUGCAUUAGAUGCCCUCUGAGACUGCUCCUCCAGGUUUAUUUUUAUCUGAAAGGAAUUCAUUUUGCACAUUCCAAACACGAUGUGAACCAAAGUGCAGGAAGUGGGAACUACUGGGAGAUUUACUUCAGUAGUGCAUCCUGAUCUGAACUAUAAUGCUACCUCACAUACACUCGGAGGCAACUGCGUCCCACUGUUUGAGAACAUUCCCAAUCACAGUUUAAUUUACCAGUUCAUCCAGUUCAAUUGCACAUAAAAAUUGUGUGAGGCUUUGGCAUGUUAAGUGGAAAUUGGAUUUAAAAUUUUAUUGCUAAAAUUGAGUAAAUCUCUGCUGAAUGUUUGAACUGUCAUUCUUAGAGUGCCUAGAAUAAAUUUGAGAAAGUUUGCAAGUGGAUGCAAAAGCACAACUGUUAUAUAUAGACUGUGUUCAUGAAGUGUUUUAAAUGUGUCUCGCUAGUGUAUCUGAGAAAAGAGGAGGGAGAGAGAGGGAGAGUGUCUGAAUGUUAAAGGGAAAGAGAAAGGCCUAAAGAGUAUUUUUUCUUCUUAUAGAUUAGAAAAAUCUUCACAGUAAAUUUACAGCCAAAAUUUCCAGUCCUGACUAAAGCAAGUGAUGUUUGGCGUGCUGUAUCUGCAGGUCGUGAGCUUUAAUUACAUCACAUUAUCUUUCACUGUAAGAUCUGGACUGCAGUUGCCUUUAGGUUGGAAUCCAAACUGAUAAAGAGCUUUUUAUCACUACACAGUACAUCAGACAUAGUUUGUAAGGAACAGAUAGUCAUCUGCUCUACCAACCUGCCUAUUCUAGUUGAAGUUGCCUCCAGGGAAUAGAUACCAGAAACUUCACAUUUAGAUCACUUAAAAAGAAAGAUUCCUGGCAAAUAGGAUGGCAUAAGUGGUAUUUAGAGAAAAGCUGUGUAAUAUAGUACCUAAAUAAUUUUAUAGUCCUACUGCUAUUUUAGUAUGCUGGUAGGAUAUCUGAACCACUUGCUCUUGACUUGUACCUUGUUAGUAAUGAUGUUAUGCAUAAUGCAGCAAAGGAAUUCUUCAUUCCUGAGCAGGGGAACAGAAGUGAACAGAAGUGCCUUUUACAACUCAUCUCUUAUGGAUCAAAGGAAACGUCAAGCUUGCCUUAUCAUGUAAGCGAGUUUAGCGUCCUUGAGCUUUGCUGUUACAGUUACACAUGCUUAGCCCAUAGUUUUUGCUAUGUUUGCAUUAACUGAAAUUGUACGUUUAUGGAUUGCACAGACUUGAUUUCUGCUGGUGGAUGUUCAGUGUGUCUAUUAAAAUUACAUAUUUUCAGAACUUACUGUGAAAUAUAUGCAGAAAUUAUUAAAAAAUAUGAAGAUAUUUAUUUUGGGCUAAAAUAAUCUAAAAC
Molecule: long non-coding RNA, 3402 nt
Organism: Neopelma chrysocephalum (saffron-crested tyrant-manakin)
Lineage: Eukaryota; Metazoa; Chordata; Aves; Passeriformes; Pipridae
Exons: 6
Source: RefSeq, a predicted model, not a curated record